This 434-nucleotide ribosomal RNA is filed under the name uncultured bacterium. RNAcentral describes it as "partial 16S ribosomal RNA". It matches the Rfam family "Bacterial small subunit ribosomal RNA", at positions 29 to 507 of the family's 1533-position model. The record is from RNAcentral.
AGCGAACGCUGGCGGCAGGCCUAACACAUGCAAGUCGAACGAACCUUUCGGGGUUAGUGGCGGACGGGUGAGUAACACGUGGGAACGUGCCUUUAGGUUCGGAAUAACUCAGGGAAACUUGUGCUAAUACCGAAUGUGCCCUCCGGGGGAAAGAUUAAUCGCCUUUAGAGCGGCCCGCGUCUGAUUAGCUAGUUGGUUGAGGUAAUGGCUCACCAAGGCGACGAUCAGUAGCUGGUCUGAGAGGAUGAUCAGCCACAUUGGGACUGAGACACGGCCCAAACUCCUACGGGAGGCAGCAGUGGGGAAUCUUGCGCAAUGGGCGAAAGCCUGACGCAGCCAUGCCGCGUGAAUGAUGAAGGUCUUAGGAUUGUAAAAUUCUUUCACCGGGGACGAUAAUGACGGUACCCGGAGAAGAAGCCCCGGCUAACUACGUG